CACGCCCUCAKSCUGCAGGUGUCGGAGCUGGGAUCAGGCUCAGUAUCCCUAGCCCACAACACCUAACAUCGUCACACCCACWAGGGUAUUCAGCAGUGAUCAACAUUGACAGUAAGCGACAGCUUGACCCAKUUAAAGUAGAUAAAGUUGGCUAAUCCGGUGCCAGCCGCCGCGGCUACACCGUUAAACUUAAAUUGAUAAUCAACGGCGUUAAACGUGUUUUAAGUACUUUAAAAUUUGAAUUAAACUAAGGCUACAUAGUAAUAAGUGUGCCCCACAGAAACACAGGAACGUAAGUCAUUCUAAUAAAACACUUGAAUCCACGACAAUUAAGAAACAAACUGGGAUUAGAUACCCCACUAUGCUUAAUCGUAAAAUAUAUAAUCACGCCCCAAACCGCCAGGAUAGUACGAGCAAAAAGCUUAAAAUUCAAAGGACUUGACGGUGUCCCAUCCAACUAGAGGAGCCUGUUCCAUAAUCGAUAACCCCCGAUGAACCUAACCACUUUUAGCCAAUCAGUCUGUAUACCUCCGUCGCAAGCUUACCGUAUGAAUGUUGUUAAGUAGGCAAAAAGAUUACUUCACCCACACGUCAGGUCAAGGUGCAGCCCACGAAGUGGUGAGAGAUGGGCUACAGUUUCUAAGUUAGAACAUACGAAAACUUUAUAUGAAAAACUAACCAAGAAGGCGGAUUUAGAAGUAAAGGGUAAGUAGAGUGUACCCUUUAAUUUGGCCCCGGGACGUGUACACACCGCCCGUCAUCCUCUUCGGCCAAAAAUAACUUAGUUAAUAACACACUAUAUAUAGCAAAGAAGAGGCAAGUCGUAACAUGGUAAGCAUACUGGAAAGUGUGCUUGGAUUAACAAAAUAUAACUUAAAUAAAGUAUUUCGUUUACACCGAACCCAUAUCUGUUUAAACCAGAUUAUUUUGAGCCUCUAACUCCGCCCAAUAAAAAACAAAUAAUUCUCACCCCAACACCAAGAUAAAACAUUUUACUAAUUUAGUAAAGGCGAACGAAAAUUUUAUAGGAGCCAUAUAUAAAGUACCGCAAGGGAAAAGUGAAAUAAAAAUGAAAUAAACAAAAGCAAACAAAAGCAGAGAUUAACUCUCGUACCUUUUGCAUCAUGGUCUAGCCAGUCUCAAUAAGCAAAUUAUACUGUUUAGCUUAUACCCCCGAAACUAGACGAGCUACUUAAGAACAGCCUUACAGGGGCCAACCCGUCUCUGUUGCAAAAGAGUGGGAAGAUUUUUAAGUAGAGGUGACAUGCCUAUCGAGUCUAGAGAUAGCUGGUUGCUCAAGAAAAGAAUCUUAGUUCUGCCNCAAAUUUUAACAUAACCACCAAUAUGUAUUUGAGAGUUAUUCAAAUAUGGUACAGCCUGUUUGAUACUGAAUACAAUCAAAAAGUCCGGGUAAUACAACUUACUAUUUAAUUAAGUAGGCCUAAAAGCAGCCACCUUAAAUAGCGUCAAAGCUUGAUUAAAAUAACUAUUAAUUUCUCCAACUAUAUAGAACCCUACUAUUAUAUUGAGCAUUUUUAUAUAAUAUAAAAGAUAUUAUGCUAGAACUAGUAACAAGAAUUUAUCUCCAAAAUGUAAGUAUAUUUCAAAUAUGAACUUUAUUGUAUCUAGAAGUAACCCUCUUAGAAAUCCCUACUAAGUCCCCACAUUAAACUUACACAAGAACACUUCUGGAAAGAUUAAAACAAAAAGAAGGAACUCGGCAAAUUUUAAUCUCGCCUGUUUACCAAAAACAUCACCUCUUGAUCAAAUAUAAGAGGCCCCGCCUGCCCAGUGAUUAUUUCAACGGCCACGGUACCCUAACCGCGCGAAGGUAGCACAAUCACUUGUUCUCUAAAUAAGGACCAGUAUGAACGGCAUCACGAAGAUUAUACUGUCUCCUUUCUGCAAUCAGUGAAACUGAUCUCCCCGUGAAAAAGCGAGGAUUAUACUAUAAGACGAGAAGACCCCGUGGAGCUUUAAGAAUAUACCAACUGUCACACCAAUACCAUAAGAGAUUGACAGCCCUGACUAUUAACUUUCGGUUGGGGUGACCACGGAGUAAAAUAAAACCUCCGCAAUGAACGAGCCCAGCUCUAAUUUUAGAACUACAUUUCCAAAAAUCAUAACAUUGACAUCUAUUGACCCAAACCCUUGAUCAAUGAACCAAGUUACCCCGGGGAUAACAGCGCAAUCCAUUUUUAGAGCCCCUAUCAACAAAUGGG
RNAcentral lists this non-coding RNA (2222 nucleotides) under Cardioglossa leucomystax (silver long-fingered frog). RNAcentral's name for it is "partial contains 12S ribosomal RNA, tRNA-Val, and 16S ribosomal RNA". The stretch from base 1 to 869 matches the Rfam family "Bacterial small subunit ribosomal RNA", at positions 303 to 1533 of the family's 1533-position model. The record is from RNAcentral. Lineage: Eukaryota; Metazoa; Chordata; Amphibia; Anura; Arthroleptidae.